This 676-nucleotide ribosomal RNA is filed under the name uncultured organism. RNAcentral describes it as "SSU rRNA". It matches the Rfam family "Bacterial small subunit ribosomal RNA", at positions 146 to 807 of the family's 1533-position model. The record is from RNAcentral.
ACCCCGGGAAACCGGGGUUAAUACCGGAAUAGGUGACCUUUUUGCAUGGAGGGGUCAUGAAAGGCGGCGGAAGCCGUCGCUUACGGAGGGGCCCGCGGCGCAUUAGCUAGUUGGUGAGGGAAGGGCUCACCAAGGCGACGAUGCGUAGCCGGCCUGAGAGGGUGAACGGCCACACUGGGACUGAGACACGGCCCAGACUCCUACGGGAGGCAGCAGUAGGGAAUCUUCCGCAAUGGACGGAAGUCUGACGGAGCAACGCCGCGUGAGUGAGGAAGGCCUUCGGGUCGUAAAGCUCUGUUGUUCGUGAAGAAGGGGUUGGCCAGGAAAUGGGCCGACAUUGACGGUAGCGAACCAGAAAGCCCCGGCUAACUACGUGCCAGCAGCCGCGGUAACACGUAGGGGGCAAGCGUUGUCCGGAAUGAUUGGGCGUAAAGGGCGCGCAGGCGGCCUCUUAAGUCUGAUGUGAAAGCCCACGGCUCAACCGUGGAGGGACAUUGGAAACUGGGGGGCUUGAGUGCAGGAGAGGGGAGUGGAAUUCCACGUGUAGCGGUGAAAUGCGUAGAGAUGUGGAGGAACACCAGUGGCGAAGGCGGCUCUCUGGCCUGUGACUGACGCUGAGGCGCGAAAGCGUGGGGAGCGAACAGGAUUAGAUACCCUGGUAGUCCACGCCGUAAAC